This is a long non-coding RNA of Setaria italica (foxtail millet), 1017 nucleotides long. RefSeq lists it as uncharacterized. Lineage: Eukaryota; Viridiplantae; Streptophyta; Magnoliopsida; Poales; Poaceae. The transcript is spliced from 2 exons. The record is from RefSeq and is a predicted model, not a curated record.
GGCAAUUAUCGGGAGCCUCCUCCCAUCGUCGUCGCAACUGCUUGCCCAACGCUCCGCAGCCGCUCGCUGCUCCCCCGCGCCCAUGCCCAUGCGCUCGCUCGCCGCGGCGAUCGAGAUCCGCACUGCCGCCCGCACUUCUCUUCCUCGUUGCCGGCGUUUGUGAGCCCAGUGUACUCCCCAGUGUCUCUUCCUCCCCACCGGCGCCCGCGUGGCUGCCGCAUGCUUCUCCUGCGCGUGAACUCUCCGUGAUGCGGCCGUCGAGCUCGCCUGCGCCCACGUCUCCUGGCCUGCGCCUGCUCUGCCCGUGUGAUGCUGCUCGCCGGCAGGCGGGCGACCCCCGAUUCGAGCCUUCCACGGCGCUAGUGGGGUUGACAGUGGAGAGCACCCAAGAAUGUCAAAGCGGGUCAAGCGACUUGCAUUGGGGGACCCCUCACAACUAAUCAUCCCCUCGAGAACUUUGAUCUGAAAUUUCUUCAGUUCUGGGUCCUAACAAUUUGAUGACUUCGUUGCUUGGUGCAGCUUCAAUCCAGGAAUUUUGAUAUCGUGGAUGGAGGGGGAUAAAAUCGAGCACAAAAGGAAGCGGCAAUGCAAAUUGUUGAAGAAGAGAGCAAGACAUGACCGUGCCUCAAUUCGCGCCGCCAGGGCCUCAAUCCAUGACUGCAGAAGAAACAUGGGCGGCGUUGAGCUCAACCUCAUACGGGCUGAGGGAGAUCUCGAGCUUGGUGUUCGAGAGCUCAGUUUUGGCUGCAGUGAGUUCGAUGACAAGCCCAUCAAUUCCGAGGCUACCAUUGUAGUUCGUAGGCGGAACAAAGAAGAACGGUUGCACAGGCCACAGAUGAUGCUAUCUCCUGCCACUGACAGCAUUCUUGUGCACUGAGUAUUACAGCCGUAAGUUAAUUACAGGUGUAAACAAUCACAACGCAUCCAAACGUUGAAAAGAAAAUACUUCUGUAUCCUGUGCACAAUAAAUUUGUAGCGAAGAUGGCCCUAUUAAAUCAUAGUAUGUGAUUUUGGUAA